This 460-nucleotide ribosomal RNA is filed under the name uncultured bacterium. Its description in RNAcentral is "partial 16S ribosomal RNA". It matches the Rfam family "Bacterial small subunit ribosomal RNA", at positions 338 to 795 of the family's 1533-position model. The record is from RNAcentral.
CCUACGGGAGGCUGCAGUGAGGACUAUUGGUCAAUGGACGAGAGUCUGAACCAGCCAAGUAGCGUGAAGGAUGACUGCCCUAUGGGUUGUAAACUUCUUUUAUAUGGGAAUAAAACGUUCCACGUGUGGGAUUUUGUAUGUACCAUAUGAAUAAGGAUCGGCUAACUCCGUGCCAGCAGCCGCGGUAAUACGGAGGAUCCGAGCGUUAUCCGGAUUUAUUGGGUUUAAAGGGAGCGUAGGUGGAUUGUUAAGUCAGUUGUGAAAGUUUGCGGCUCAACCGUAAAAUUGCAGUUGAAACUGGCAGUCUUGAGUACAGUAGAGGUGGGCGGAAUUCGUGGUGUAGCGGUGAAAUGCUUAGAUAUCACGAAGAACUCCGAUUGCGAAGGCAGUUCACUGGACUGCAACUGACACUGAGGCUCGAAAGUGUGGGUAUCAAACAGGAUUAGAUACCCCAGUAGUC